Molecule: ribosomal RNA, 253 nt
Filed under: uncultured bacterium
Lineage: Bacteria
Description: partial 16S ribosomal RNA
Rfam family: Bacterial small subunit ribosomal RNA
Source: RNAcentral
UACAGAGGGGGCCAGCGUUAUUCGGAAUUAUUGGGCGUAAAGGGCGUGUAGGCGGUCAGGUAAGUGAGACGUGAAAUGCCCCGGCUUACCCGGGGACCUGCGUCUCAUACUGCUUGGCUUGAGUACGGGAGAGGGUGUGGGAAUUCCUGGUGUAGCGGUGAAAUGCGUAGAUAUCAGGAGGAACACCGGUGGCGAAGGCGCACACCUGGCCCGAUACUGACGCUGAGGCGCGAAAGCUAGGGGAGCAAACGGG